This 484-nucleotide ribosomal RNA is filed under the name uncultured bacterium. RNAcentral's name for it is "partial 16S ribosomal RNA". It matches the Rfam family "Bacterial small subunit ribosomal RNA", at positions 30 to 507 of the family's 1533-position model. The record is from RNAcentral.
AUUGAACGCUGGCGGCAGGCCUAACACAUGCAAGUCGAGCGGAUGAAGGGAGCUUGCUCCUGGAUUCAGCGGCGGACGGGUGAGUAAUGCCUAGGAAUCUGCCCGGUAGUGGGGGAUAACGUCCGGUAACGGGCGCUAAUACCGCAUACGUCCUGAGGGAGAAAGUGGGGGAUCUUCGGACCUCACGCUAUCAGAUGAGCCUAGGUCGGAUUAGCUAGUUGGUGGGGUAAAGGCCUACCAAGGCGACGAUCCGUAACUGGUCUGAGAGGAUGAUCAGUCACACUGGAACUGAGACACGGUCCAGACUCCUACGGGAGGCAGCAGUGGGGAAUAUUGGACAAUGGGCGAAAGCCUGAUCCAGCCAUGCCGCGUGUGUGAAGAAGGUCUUCGGAUUGUAAAGCACUUUAAGUUGGGAGGAAGGGCAGUAAGUUAAUACCUGGCUGUUUUGACGUUACCAACAGAAUAAGCACCGGCUAACUUCGUG